AGAGUUUGAUCAUGGCUCAGAUUGAACGCUGGCGGCAGGCCUAACACAUGCAAGUCGAGCGGUAACAGAUCCAGCUUGCUGGAUGCUGACGAGCGGCGGACGGGUGAGUAAUGCAUAGGAAUCUGCCCGAUAGUGGGGGAUAACCUGGGGAAACCCAGGCUAAUACCGCAUACGUCCUACGGGAGAAAGGGGGCUCCGGCUCCCGCUAUGGGAUGAGCCUAUGUCGGAUUAGCUAGUUGGUGAGGUAACGGCUCACCAAGGCCACGAUCCGUAGCUGGUCUGAGAGGAUGAUCAGCCACAUCGGGACUGAGACACGGCCCGAACUCCUACGGGAGGCAGCAGUGGGGAAUAUUGGACAAUGGGGGAAACCCUGAUCCAGCCAUGCCGCGUGUGUGAAGAAGGCCCUCGGGUUGUAAAGCACUUUCAGCGAGGAAGAACGCCUAGCGGUUAAUACCCGCUAGGAAAGACAUCACUCGCAGAAGAAGCACCGGCUAACUCCGUGCCAGCAGCCGCGGUAAUACGGAGGGUGCAAGCGUUAAUCGGAAUUACUGGGCGUAAAGCGCGCGUAGGUGGCUUGAUAAGCCGGUUGUGAAAGCCCCGGGCUCAACCUGGGAACGGCAUCCGGAACUGUCAAGCUAGAGUGCAGGAGAGGAAGGUAGAAUUCCCGGUGUAGCGGUGAAAUGCGUAGAGAUCGGGAGGAAUACCAGUGGCGAAGGCGGCCUUCUGGACUGACACUGACACUGAGGUGCGAAAGCGUGGGUAGCAAACAGGAUUAGAUACCCUGGUAGUCCACGCCGUAAACGAUGUCGACCAGCCGUUGGGUGCCUAGCGCACUUUGUGGCGAAGUUAACGCGAUAAGUCGACCGCCUGGGGAGUACGGCCGCAAGGUUAAAACUCAAAUGAAUUGA
RNAcentral lists this ribosomal RNA (908 nucleotides) under marine metagenome. Its description in RNAcentral is "bacterial SSU rRNA". It matches the Rfam family "Bacterial small subunit ribosomal RNA", at positions 8 to 913 of the family's 1533-position model. The record is from RNAcentral.